Molecule: ribosomal RNA, 439 nt
Filed under: uncultured bacterium
Lineage: Bacteria
Description: partial 16S ribosomal RNA
Rfam family: Bacterial small subunit ribosomal RNA
Source: RNAcentral
CCUACGGGCGGCAGCAGUGGGGGAUAUUGCACAAUGGAGGAAACUCUGAUGCAGCGACGCCGCGUGAGGGAAGACGGUCUUCGGAUUGUAAACCUCUGUCUUCGGGGAAGAAAAUGACGGUACCCAAAGAUGAAGCUCCGGCUAACUACGUUCCAACAGCCGCGGGAUUACGUAGGGAGCGAGCGUUGUCCGGAAUGACUGGGUGUAACGGGAGCGUAGGCGGGCGAGAAAGUUGAAUGUUAAAUCUACGGGCUGAACUGGUAGCUGCGUUCAAAAAUUCUUGUCUUGAGUGAAGUAGAGGCAGGCGGAAUUCCUAGUGUAGCGGUGAAAUGCGUAGAUAUUAGGAGGAACACCAGUGGCGAAGGCGGCCUGCUGGGCUUUAACUGACGCUGAGGCUCGAAAGCGUGGGGAGCAAACAGGAUUAGAUACCCGAGUAGUC